ACGGGGGAUGCAAGCGUUAUCCGGAUUUAUUGGGUUUAAAGGGUGCGUAGGCGGUUUGAUAAGUCAGCGGUGAAAUAUUUCAGCUUAACUGAAAGGGUGCCGUUGAUACUGUCAGGCUUGAAUAUGGUUGCUGGGGGUGGAAUGUGUGGUGUAGCAGUGAAAUGCGUAGAUAUGACGAGGAACACCGAUUGCGAAGGCAGCUCACAGGGCCAUUAUUGACGCUGAUGCACGAAAGUGUGGGGAGCAAACAG
RNAcentral lists this ribosomal RNA (251 nucleotides) under uncultured prokaryote. RNAcentral describes it as "partial 16S rRNA". It matches the Rfam family "Bacterial small subunit ribosomal RNA", at positions 525 to 775 of the family's 1533-position model. The record is from RNAcentral.